This 253-nucleotide ribosomal RNA is filed under the name uncultured bacterium. RNAcentral's name for it is "partial 16S ribosomal RNA". It matches the Rfam family "Bacterial small subunit ribosomal RNA", at positions 524 to 776 of the family's 1533-position model. The record is from RNAcentral.
UACGAAGGGGGCUAGCGUUGUUCGGAAUUACUGGGCGUAAAGGGCGCGUAGGCGGUGUGUCAAGUCAGGCGUGAAAGCCCCGGGCUCAACCUGGGAACCGCGCUUGAGACUGGCACGCUCGAGUUCGGGAGAGGAUGGUGGAAUUCCCAGUGUAGAGGUGAAAUUCGUAGAUAUUGGGAAGAACACCGAUAGCGAAGGCAGCCAUCUGGACCGACACUGACGCUGAGGCGCGAAAGCUAGGGGAGCAAACAGG